RNAcentral lists this long non-coding RNA (2067 nucleotides) under Malus domestica (apple). Its description in RNAcentral is "long non-coding RNA (MDOM_LNC004643)". Lineage: Eukaryota; Viridiplantae; Streptophyta; Magnoliopsida; Rosales; Rosaceae. The record is from RNAcentral.
CGAUUCGGAUCCUUAAAGUUGGAUGUGGUGUGAACCCCACAACUAAUCCUCAUUUUUAUAUAAUAAAAAAAUGAGAAUAUCUUUCCUUAUAUAUAUAUAUAGCGUUGACGUAAAGCAGUUGAUGUUUCUCUCAUGCGGGCUAAUAAAGAAACUUGAAACAUGAAGAAACUGGAGACCAAUCCAAUCGUAUAUACAACGUCUCCUAAUCUCAUCAUGUAAUCAAAUAAUUCAUUCUCUUAAGUUGACCCGUAAAUUCCAUUGCUUCUUGAAUUAUUUCUUUCUUUUUUUCUUCAACCCCACAUUUUUGUUAAGAAAUGUACAACAUUCAUUGAUAUGAUUUAGCGAAUAAGUACAAAUUGGAGGAUAUGGUGCAAUUAAGUGAGCCUCGAUAAAAACUUUGUUGUUCAUUUGAAUCCGGACUAAAGAGAAAAAGAGCAUCCCAUACUAACAACUAUAAAACCGUACUAUUCUCAAUUGAAAAAUCAAUGAUUACAUCGGGGGUUCCAUAGAUAGGUCAACUCUUGCCAAUUUGUGAGCCACCCUAGUAGCUUCUUGUCGUGUGUAGAGAAUUUUGGUAUGAGGGAAACAAUGGAGAAAAGUUUGAGCAUAUUAAGAUUUGAUUUUCUUCUUCUUUUUUUCAUAAUCUCACCUUUGAGUAUAUAAUGAGUGUGUGUGUGUGUGUAUAUAUUAUGAGAUUUGUUUAUUUUUUGACAUUGCUGGCCUUAGCGUGCGCAGUUGAUUGAGUAGUAGUAGAAGUAAGAAAUAAGAUCCUACAAUUCCAAUUUCCAGCAAUUUUUGUGUGGUCCACUUAAUCAAACAAACAAAAACAUCGUUUCUUUCUCUUUCUAAUUUCUCUUGUUUGUGUUGGAGUCUUGAGUGUUGUCUGUUCAUCUUUGACCUUUGACUGCCCCACUGCCACUACCCACGCUAAUAUCACAACUAUUUACGAACCUAAUUAUAGUUUAUCCACACCACCUAUUUUAUAUAUGCUUCUAUUAUUCUACCGUUAUUAUAACUAUUAUCCAAUUGUGAUUGUUUAAAUUCUAAAAAGAUUUGAUUUCUAAAUUAUUCAUUAUUCUAGUAAUUCUUUUUCUAUAUGAUUAUCCUUACUUGGAGGGUAAGUUAAUCCUUUUUUCUUGGUUUAUUAUAAACAUUAUUAUAAAAAUCUCCGCGUAGCGCCGCCUAGGUGCUAGGCGGUUGGCCACCAGUCCGAUAGGCGGUUGGCCACCACUCGAUUAAUGCCUAAGCAUUUGAAUUAAGAAAGGGUGCCUAGACCUGUUGAGGCACCCACCUAGCCUGCCUAGGCACUCACUUAUGUUGCGACUCACUUAGACAGAAAAUAGAUAACUUUCAUUUUGUAUUUUAUUUUUUCAAUAAAUUGUAAGAGACUUGCUAAAUAGUUAAAUGAACACACAUGAUAUGUUUGUUCCCCACGUUUUCAUUAUGUUCCAAUACUUCAUAAUAUAUAUGUCAUUCUAUUUUGUAGUUUAUGAUGAAAUUAUAUAUAUUUUAAGUAUAAACAGAUACUUAUUUACACAAAAUAUAAUAGAUUUACUUAAAUCCGUUUAGUCCGCCUAGACCCUGCCUAACCGUCUAGGCGCUAGGCCCCAACCCGCGGCCCGACUAGCGCCCAGCGUCUUUUUAGAACCUGGAUUAUAAAUAAAGGCACUAACAUAGACAAAAUCACAAUAAUCCCCAAGCAUUCUACCAUUUCUCGUCUCUCUCUAUAUUGUCGUACCCUCUCUUUCCCUCAGAUAAAAUAGACCACAAUACGUUAUCAGCACGCUCCUACGCUGUGUUACGAAAUCUGAAGGGAAAUUUUUGCUACAAACCACUUCACCAAUAUCAUCAUGCAAUUCAAGUUAUUCUUAAACAUGGUCUUAGUUGUCGAUAUUUUCUUAGCCUGAUUGCAUGAACAUCCACCAUAAUCUAUGAACCCAACUUUACGUUUUUCGAAUUAUAGAUUCUACAUAAAUUGUGUUUGCAUUAUAUUAAAAUAUUUUAUUUUGUAAGUUGAUAUUGUGAAGAAAAAAUUAAACAAAAUUUAGGGUUUUGAAAAAAUUCAUG